Molecule: ribosomal RNA, 1413 nt
Filed under: uncultured Propionibacteriaceae bacterium
Lineage: Bacteria; Bacillati; Actinomycetota; Actinomycetes; Propionibacteriales; Propionibacteriaceae
Description: bacterial SSU rRNA
Rfam family: Bacterial small subunit ribosomal RNA
Source: RNAcentral
CCUGGCUCAGGACGAACGCUGGCGGCGUGCUUAACACAUGCAAGUCGAACGGAAAGGCCCUGCUUUUGUGGGGUGCUCGAGUGGCGAACGGGUGAGUAACACGUGAGUAACCUGCCCUUGACUUUGGGAUAACUUCAGGAAACUGGGGCUAAUACCGGAUAGGAGCUCCUGCUGCAUGGUGGGGGUUGGAAAGUUUCGGCGGUUGGGGAUGGACUCGCGGCUUAUCAGCUUGUUGGUGGGGUAGUGGCUUACCAAGGCUUUGACGGGUAGCCGGCCUGAGAGGGUGACCGGCCACAUUGGGACUGAGAUACGGCCCAGACUCCUACGGGAGGCAGCAGUGGGGAAUAUUGCACAAUGGGCGGAAGCCUGAUGCAGCAACGCCGCGUGCGGGAUGACGGCCUUCGGGUUGUAAACCGCUUUCGCCUGUGACGAAGCGUGAGUGACGGUAAUGGGUAAAGAAGCACCGGCUAACUACGUGCCAGCAGCCGCGGUGAUACGUAGGGUGCGAGCGUUGUCCGGAUUUAUUGGGCGUAAAGGGCUCGUAGGUGGUUGAUCGCGUCGGAAGUGUAAUCUUGGGGCUUAACCCUGAGCGUGCUUUCGAUACGGGUUGACUUGAGGAAGGUAGGGGAGAAUGGAAUUCCUGGUGGAGCGGUGGAAUGCGCAGAUAUCAGGAGGAACACCAGUGGCGAAGGCGGUUCUCUGGGCCUUUCCUGACGCUGAGGAGCGAAAGCGUGGGGAGCGAACAGGCUUAGAUACCCUGGUAGUCCACGCUGUAAACGGUGGGUACUAGGUGUGGGGUCCAUUCCACGGGUUCCGUGCCGUAGCUAACGCUUUAAGUACCCCGCCUGGGGAGUACGGCCGCAAGGCUAAAACUCAAAGGAAUUGACGGGGCCCCGCACAAGCGGCGGAGCAUGCGGAUUAAUUCGAUGCAACGCGUAGAACCUUACCUGGGUUUGACAUGGAUCGGGAGUGCUCAGAGAUGGGUGUGCCUCUUUUGGGGUCGGUUCACAGGUGGUGCAUGGCUGUCGUCAGCUCGUGUCGUGAGAUGUUGGGUUAAGUCCCGCAACGAGCGCAACCCUUGUUCACUGUUGCCAGCACGUUAUGGUGGGGACUCAGUGGAGACCGCCGGGGUCAACUCGGAGGAAGGUGGGGAUGACGUCAAGUCAUCAUGCCCCUUAUGUCCAGGGCUUCACGCAUGCUACAAUGGCUGGUACAGAGAGUGGCGAGCCUGUGAGGGUGAGCGAAUCUCGGAAAGCCGGUCUCAGUUCGGAUUGGGGUCUGCAACUCGACCUCAUGAAGUCGGAGUCGCUAGUAAUCGCAGAUCAGCAACGCUGCGGUGAAUACGUUCCCGGGGCUUGUACACACCGCCCGUCAAGUCAUGAAAGUUGGUAACACCCGAAGCCGGUGGCCUAA